UACGGGGGGGGCAAGCGUUGUUCGGAAUUACUGGGCGUAAAGGGCUCGUAGGCGGCCAACUAAGUCGGACGUGAAAUCCCCAGGCUCAACCUGGGAACUGCGUCCGAUACUGGAUGGCUUGAAUCCGGGAGAGGGAUGCGGAAUUCCAGGUGUAGCGGUGAAAUGCGUAGAUAUCUGGAGGAACACCGGUGGCGAAGGCGGCAUCCUGGACCGGCAUUGACGCUGAGGCGCGAAAGCCAGGGGAGCAAACGGG
This 253-nucleotide ribosomal RNA is filed under the name uncultured bacterium. Its description in RNAcentral is "partial 16S ribosomal RNA". It matches the Rfam family "Bacterial small subunit ribosomal RNA", at positions 524 to 776 of the family's 1533-position model. The record is from RNAcentral.